AAAAGACACUGCAACAGCCAGCGGCGCCGCAGUAGCAGCUUCCGAGCUGCAGCCUCCUGCCAGAGUUUCAGGUCGAAUUCCUUGAGGAGGAACGCUCCUCUGCCCUUAGUCCCACUCCCGUGGGCUUCACCCACUUCUUUCCUCAGGACAUCGGGAGGAACCGGGUUACUUUGCCACUUUUGCAGAGGGUUAAGUGGCAGAGAAGAAGAUUCCCACCGAAGUAUCCCGAAGCCCAGGACUCCUGGCCGGAUCUCUCCACCCUCCCGCCCACGUAGGCGCCUGUGUGUCUGGCAAAGGUCCCAAUUCUCAAGGUGCCUGAGCUCCGAUGGGAUGUGGAGGAACGAGGCGGCUAGAGCAGCGACGGGACUAGAGCUGGGGAUGGUUAGAGGACAGAUGGGACGGGACUGGGGAGAGAGGCGAAGACUGCACAGAGGCACUCUCCCGCCCCUAGUUUUCAGACAGUAACUCCAAAACCCGCAGAUGGGAGGCAAGGCCUUUUCUCCCUAUGUUCUCCCUUCUCUUCCCCGAUCCCCGCCUGGACACCUGGUGAAAAAGCAAGGUGCAGGUAUACCUGGAGCGAACACCAUGAUUUCCUCCAGACGCUACGCCCCUAGGUGAGGAGAAUAGACAGGCAGACGGAGGGAUGGGAGAAAGGCCAGGACUUGGAGGGGUCAGAUGGGCGCGAUGGGCGUGCAGGGGCCGGGACGUUCAGCACCUCGGACAGCUCCCCGCCGCGCGAUCCCGGGAAGCCAGCUCCAGCGGCUGCGGCGCGUUCACCUCCACAAUGCACUGCUCUGCCGGCGGCUACCGCGGCGGCGGGAGGAGGAGACCGAAUCCUGCUCAGUUCAUCCCUCAUUCCUGUGCCAGCUCAGCGUACACUGCUGCUUGGGGAGCAAAACACUUCUAUCGCUUCCACGGGAGAAGGAAGGACGGAAGAGGAAGAGAGAAAAAGCUUUGGGCCACUUGA
Molecule: long non-coding RNA, 967 nt
Filed under: Mustela putorius furo (domestic ferret)
Lineage: Eukaryota; Metazoa; Chordata; Mammalia; Carnivora; Mustelidae
Description: lncRNA (ENSMPUG00000029133.1)
Source: RNAcentral